UUUCCUCUUACUAUAAAUUUCAUUGUUGCCGGUAAUGACAUGUAGAAUAGGACUCUAUCUUUAUUCUCGU
This 70-nucleotide transfer RNA is filed under the name Bupleurum longiradiatum. RNAcentral describes it as "partial tRNA-Leu". Lineage: Eukaryota; Viridiplantae; Streptophyta; Magnoliopsida; Apiales; Apiaceae. The record is from RNAcentral. RNAcentral also lists the same sequence under 2 other names.